GGGGUUGUAGGGUAGCUUGGUCUAUCCUUCGGCGUUCGGGACGCCGAGACCUGAGUUCAAAUCUCAGCAACCCCA
This 75-nucleotide transfer RNA is filed under the name archaeon. RNAcentral's name for it is "tRNA-Pro". It matches the Rfam family "tRNA". From Rfam's summary of the family: Transfer RNA (tRNA) molecules are approximately 80 nucleotides in length. Their secondary structure includes four short double-helical elements and three loops (D, anti-codon, and T loops). RNAcentral also lists the same sequence under 9 other names. The record is from RNAcentral.